GAUGAACGCUGGCGGCGUGCCUAAUACAUGCAAGUCGAGCGAACAGACGAGGAGCUUGCUCCUCUGACGUUAGCGGCGGACGGGUGAGUAACACGUGGAUAACCUACCUAUAAGACUGGGAUAACUUCGGGAAACCGGAGCUAAUACCGGAUAAUAUAUUGAACCGCAUGGUUCAAUAGUGAAAGACGGUUUUGCUGUCACUUAUAGAUGGAUCCGCGCCGCAUUAGCUAGUUGGUAAGGUAACGGCUUACCAAGGCAACGAUGCGUAGCCGACCUGAGAGGGUGAUCGGCCACAUUGGAACUGAGACACGGUCCAGACUCCUACGGGAGGCAGCAGUAGGGAAUCUUCCGCAAUGGGCGAAAGCCUGACGGAGCAACGCCGCGUGAGUGAUGAAGGUCUUCGGAUCGUAAAACUCUGUUAUUAGGGAAGAACAAAUGUGUAAGUAACUAUGCACGGCUUGACGGUACCUAAUCAGAAAGCCACGGCUAACUACGUG
RNAcentral lists this ribosomal RNA (497 nucleotides) under uncultured bacterium. RNAcentral's name for it is "partial 16S ribosomal RNA". It matches the Rfam family "Bacterial small subunit ribosomal RNA", at positions 28 to 507 of the family's 1533-position model. The record is from RNAcentral.